This 708-nucleotide long non-coding RNA is filed under the name Lynx pardinus (Iberian lynx). Lineage: Eukaryota; Metazoa; Chordata; Mammalia; Carnivora; Felidae. The record is from RNAcentral.
UAAAUGACCCCAAGCAUAUCCUUCUUUGUCCAGGAUUUGUUUUGAAAGAGCAAUGCCGUGAAUAGGGGAUAUCUCAGGUAGAGUCUGGUAAGGGAAAAUGUGUCUGAGCGGCAGCUGUGGUCUCUGGAUAGAAGAGUAGGUGCCUUCUGUUAAAACUGUGGGCUGCUUGGAUGGCCAGAGGCCACUGUAGGUUUUUCAGCAGAGCUGAGGGCAGGAUUCCGUCACCUCCCUCUCCCCCAUUAGAAAUGGAAAACUGGAAGACUAGCUGUCAAUUAUUGAAAGAAAAUGGGAGGUGGGAAACUCAAGCCAAAUUUAUAUUUUACUUCCUCAAAGUCAAGGUGAUGCUAGCACAAAAUUUGAAGAGAACAUUCCCUUUCUUCGGGAUUUAGGAAAUGGUGCUGCAGACUUAAGAGAUAAGGGAGGAGAUACAUAGGGUUAAUGAGGACCAGCUUUACCUCUCAAGUGCCUAGAAACGGUUUUAAUAAUCAGGGUUAGAUUCUUUGAGGCUUUGCUCCCUUAAGUUAGACCAUUCCUUCCCAAACAGAAAUAUAGAUUAUUUUCUCUUACCUACUGGCUGGCCAUUGGAUAGCAGGCUAAACUUCCAAGAAAUCUUACUUUGGAAAACUUUUGAUUAAUCCAGAAUAUUAGGUUUUGUCACUUUAAAAACGGAAGUAACAGGUUCUUGAGUAAAGAAUUUCAUUAAUGUUU